GACUUUUUAUAAUUGUUUAACUCUAGGAUAUCCCCAGAGUUGAAGAGAAACAACGAAACUUUGGAGACAAAGACCAAAGAUGGAAAGGAAAACUAUGGCUUCAGUUAUGAUGAAACUGGCAUGGCGGAGAUUUCUUCUCACCCUUUAAAGCCAGAUGAAUCCAGGGUUUCAGAAGAACGCAACAGCCAGCAACCCCAGGGACCUGAAGAGCCUCAGUUGUUAGAGAUUCAUCAUGUUUCUUUGGAUAUGCCUAGCCCUGAGAAGAUUAGUAAUGCACCAACGGUAUAAUAAAAACUUUUCUUGAGCUCCAAUUUGCACGUGGCUGGCGGUUGACAACACAGUGAUGUCAUUUCUUCUCCAUCCCAGCUUGGCUCCAGUUUUGCCAGGAUUAUCUGGAAGAGUUGAUAUCAGAAUCAUCUGAACUGAUAUUUUAUAUGAGAGGAGGAAUUGCUUUUCUAGCUUCCCACGUAGAAUUUGACUUUAAAAUAUUUCAUGAUUUGAGUGAAUUUCUUAAAUUACAAAGUCAAAGAUGAAAAAGCAUCAUAAUGUUCCCCAUCACUCAACACUCCCGCUUGCUAACCCAGCAAAUGACAGACAAGCCUAUCUUUGACCGUGAUUGUGAUGGUUAGGCUAAUGUGUCAGCUUUGACAGGUAAUGAGACCCAGUUGUUUGUUCAAGCAAGCACUGGACUAAUUGUAAUACAAGAGCACCUCAUGGACUGUAAUCAACGGACUUUAAUCAACCGAGGAGCUUGCUGUCCAUGAUGAGUGACGCCUCAUCCAAUCAGUUGAAGGCCUUAAAAGGAGCAGUGAUUUCAGCAUUCAGGGAGAGAAUCCCCAUCCCCUGGGAAACUCAGACCUCCAUCGGAAUCCCUGGCUUGCCGCCCGCCCUGUGGAAUUUGGACUCGUGCAUGCCCAUGGUUGCAUGAGACAAUUUUUUAAAAUCUCAUACUAUUUAUAGAUAUCUCCUGUUGGUUCUGUUUCCCUAGAGAACCCUGAUUAAUACAAUGAUUCUAAUAACUUAUUUAGUACCUUAAAUUAUAUUACUUGUUAUUUAUAUAUGCUUAAUAUGUGGGGCAUUGGUGUGUGUUAGUGACAUAAGAGGAUAAAAAGUAGGAGUCAGUCAGAAAUAUAAAAUUGACAAGUCAGAACUCCAAUUUCAUGAGCUCAAGAUAAGAUGAAAUUCUAAAGCUGGUGCACAUGUUCCUAAUGAUAAAUUAAUGAAACAAUGAACAAAUUCAUUAUUGGCUAUUUACAGGAAGCCAUUUCUUUUAAUCUGCUGCCUUGUCCUAUGUCCUCUAAGUAGUGAGGUAUAGAUUGUACUUUGCAGGGGAUUUAUCUUACGUGCAACAAAUGCCAUGAAAGAAACUGGAAAUGGACAAUGUGCUCCUUAAUAAAUAAAAAAAAAACACCAAAAAUGAGUAUUGUAUUUUCCUUUUUAAUUCUUUAAUAUUUGGGAGGUCAUUUAAAGAAUCACAGAGUUUAAGCAAUUUAAGGAUUCAAAUAUUUUCCAGUAAGGAAACCAGGAAACUUCUCUAAAAAUCUGUUCCAUCUUUGUGUUUGUCUAUCUUUGGCUCCUGUACAUUUGCCCCAA
This 1593-nucleotide long non-coding RNA is filed under the name Dasypus novemcinctus (nine-banded armadillo). RNAcentral's name for it is "lncRNA (ENSDNOG00000050213.1)". The record is from RNAcentral. Lineage: Eukaryota; Metazoa; Chordata; Mammalia; Cingulata; Dasypodidae.